AUCAUGCUGAUGAGUUCUAAAUGAGACGAAACGCGCGUCCUGGAU
Molecule: non-coding RNA, 45 nt
Organism: Schistosoma mansoni
Lineage: Eukaryota; Metazoa; Platyhelminthes; Trematoda; Strigeidida; Schistosomatidae
Source: Rfam